UAAGGAAGGCAGCAGUGGGGAAUAUUGCACAAUGGGCGAAAGCCUGAUGCAGCUAUGCCGCGUGUAUGAAGAAGGCCUUAGGGUUGUAAAGUACUUUCAUCGGGGAGGAAAAAACAAAACUAAUAAUUUUAUUUCUUGACGUUACCCGAAAAAGAAGCACCGGCUAACUCCGUGCCAGCAGCCGCGGUAAUACGGAGGGUGCUAGCGUUAAUCAGAAUUACUGGGCGUAAAGAGCACGUAGGUGGUUUUUUUAAGUCAGAUGUGAAAUCCCUGGGCUUAACCUAGGAACUGCAUUUUGAAACUGAAAUACUAGAGUAUCGUAGAGGGAGGUAGAAUUCUAGGUGUAGCGGUGAAAUGCGUAGAUAUCUGGAGGAAUACCUGUGGCGAAAGCGGCCUCCUAAACGAAUACUGACACUGAGGUGCGAAAGCGUUGGGGAGCAAACAGGGAUUAGAUACC
RNAcentral lists this ribosomal RNA (457 nucleotides) under uncultured bacterium. RNAcentral describes it as "bacterial SSU rRNA". It matches the Rfam family "Bacterial small subunit ribosomal RNA", at positions 340 to 786 of the family's 1533-position model. The record is from RNAcentral.